CGGAUGUAGCUCAGUUGGUAGAGCGCCGGUUUGUGGUUCCGGUUGUCGCGGGUUCGAUCCCCGUCAUUC
Molecule: transfer RNA, 69 nt
Filed under: uncultured Neokomagataea sp.
Lineage: Bacteria; Pseudomonadati; Pseudomonadota; Alphaproteobacteria; Acetobacterales; Acetobacteraceae
Rfam family: tRNA
About the family: Transfer RNA (tRNA) molecules are approximately 80 nucleotides in length. Their secondary structure includes four short double-helical elements and three loops (D, anti-codon, and T loops). Further hydrogen bonds mediate the characteristic L-shaped molecular structure. tRNAs have two regions of fundamental functional importance: the anti-codon, which is responsible for specific mRNA codon recognition, and the 3' end, to which the tRNAs corresponding amino acid is attached (by aminoacyl-tRNA synthetases). tRNAs cope with the degeneracy of the genetic code in two manners: having more than one tRNA (with a specific anti-codon) for a particular amino acid; and 'wobble' base-pairing, i.e. permitting non-standard base-pairing at the 3rd anti-codon position.
Source: RNAcentral